UGGGGAAUAUUGCACAAUGGGCGAAAGCCUGAUGCAGCGACGCCGCGUGAGGGAUGGAGGCCUUCGGGUUGUAAACCUCUUUCGGCAGGGAAGAAGCGUUAAGUGACGGUACCUGCAGAAGAAGCGCCGGCUAACUACGUGCCAGCAGCCGCGGUAAUACGUAGGGCGCAAGCGUUGUCCGGAAUUAUUGGGCGUAAAGAGCUCGUAGGUGGUUUGUCGCGUCUGGUGUGAAAUCCCGGGGCUUAACUUCGGGCGUGCAUCGGGUACGGGCAGGCUAGAGUGCGGUAGGGGAGACUGGAAUUCCUGGUGUAGCGGUGGAAUGCGCAGAUAUCAGGAGGAACACCGAUGGCGAAGGCAGGUCUCUGGGCCGCAACUGACGCUGAGGAGCGAAAGCAUGGGGAGCGAACA
This 408-nucleotide ribosomal RNA is filed under the name uncultured Actinomycetales bacterium. Its description in RNAcentral is "partial 16S ribosomal RNA". It matches the Rfam family "Bacterial small subunit ribosomal RNA", at positions 355 to 774 of the family's 1533-position model. Lineage: Bacteria; Bacillati; Actinomycetota; Actinomycetes; Actinomycetales. The record is from RNAcentral.